GCCUAGACCUAGGCCUUCUAUUUUUAUUUAUAUUUUUUUAAUAUUCAGCGCUUUUUCACAUGAAAAGACCCCAGUCUUUUCAUGUGAAAAAGCGCUGAAUAUUAAAAUGUAAAUAAAAAUAGAAGGCCUAGGUCUAGGC
Non-coding RNA from Paramuricea clavata, 139 nucleotides. The record is from the annotation of a GenBank genome assembly. Lineage: Eukaryota; Metazoa; Cnidaria; Anthozoa; Malacalcyonacea; Plexauridae.